CAACUUAUGGAGCGAUAUAGGGAGCAAAAGAAGGACUUGCAUAUGGUGUUCAUUGACUUGCAGAAGGCCUAUGAUAAGAUACCGCGGAAUGUCAUGUGGUGGGCCUUGGAGAAACACAAAGUCCCAGCAAAGUACAUUACCCUCAUCAAGGACAUGUACAAUAAUGUUGUGACAAGUGUUCGAACAAGUGAUGUCGACACCGAUGACUUCCCGAUUAAGAUAGGACUACAUCAGGGGUCAGCUUUGAGCCCUUAUCUUUUUGCAUUGGUGAUGGAUGAGGUCACAAGGGGUAUACACGGAGAUAUCCCAUGGUGUAUGCUCUUUGCGGAUGAUGUGGUGCUAGUUGACGAUAGUCGGACGGGGGUAAAUAGGAAGUUAGAGUUAUGGAGACAAACCAUGGAAUCGAAAGGGUUUAGGCUUAGUAGAACUAAAACCGAGUACAUGAUGUGCAGUUUCAGUACUACUAGGUGUGAGGAGGAGGAGGUUAGCCUUGAUGGCCAGGUGGUACCUCGGAAGGACACCUUUCGGUAUUUGGGGUCAAUGUUGCAGGAGGAUGGGGGUAUUGAUGAAGAUGUGAACCAUCGAAUCAAAGCCGGAUGGAUGAAGUGGCGCCAAGCUUCUGGCAUUCCCUAUGAAAAGAGAGUGCCACAAAAGCUAAAAGGCAAGUUCUACAGGAUGGCGGUUCGACCCGCAAUGUUGUAUGGCACGGAUUGUUGGCCGACUAAAAGGCGACAUGUUCAACAGUUAGGUGUGGCGGAGAUGCGUAUGUUGAGAUGGAUGUGUGGACACACGAGGAAGGAUCGAGUCCGGAAUGAUGAUAUACGAGAUAGAGUUGGGGUAGCACCAAUUGAGGAGAAGCUUGUCCAACAUUGUUUGAGAUGGUUUGGGCAUAUUCAGCGCAGGCCU
RNAcentral lists this ribosomal RNA (906 nucleotides) under Triticum aestivum (bread wheat). RNAcentral describes it as "partial small subunit ribosomal RNA". The record is from RNAcentral. Lineage: Eukaryota; Viridiplantae; Streptophyta; Magnoliopsida; Poales; Poaceae.